This 360-nucleotide small RNA is filed under the name Arabidopsis thaliana (thale cress). Its description in RNAcentral is "ATSL300530". The record is from RNAcentral. Lineage: Eukaryota; Viridiplantae; Streptophyta; Magnoliopsida; Brassicales; Brassicaceae.
AUUUAGCUUAUUUCCGUUUUCCUUUCUUGAUGUCACAUUCAGCCUGAUACAAAGAGGAAAAUGAGCUUGUAGCGGCCCACUAGACUCGUAGCAGACUUUUUGCGUUUUUACUUUGACGGUGUAUUUUUUCUUUAUUUAUAUGUUAGACCAUCUUCAUUGGGGGUAUCUCAUAGGAGUUUCUCACAAUUAAAAAUAUAAAAAUAAUAAAAAUGAAGGAGAGAGAGUGUAGAAAGUUUCCACUUGAGAAACUUUGAGAUACUCUGUACAACCCAUCAUGACAAUUCUCAUUUUACUAUUGGUUUAAUUUUUUAACUAAAAUACUUUUUUAAUCAAAUAAUCAAAUUAUAAUAUAAUAUUAAU